Molecule: long non-coding RNA, 21472 nt
Filed under: Brassica napus (rape)
Lineage: Eukaryota; Viridiplantae; Streptophyta; Magnoliopsida; Brassicales; Brassicaceae
Description: long non-coding RNA (BNAP_LNC021704)
Source: RNAcentral
UCCAUUACUUGUUCCUGCUUUUACACGCAUUUACUCUUGUUGUUGCAUGUCCUGUGUGACCUGGAAAACUCUUACUUGCGGUGUAAAAGAAAAUCUGCAUAGAUCCAUUACUUGCUCCUUAUUUUACACGCAUUUACUUUUGUUGUUGUCUGCCCUGUGUGACCUGGAAAACUCUUACUUGCUGUGUAAAAGAAAAUCUACAACCAUAUACUCGACGGUUUUAAGUCACUAAGGAUCAAAAUUUUGGCAAAGUUGUAAAUAGUUUCGAUGAGGCUAUUUCUUAAGGUAAGAGAUCACCGAGAAACUGUUUGUCUUGUUAGAUAUAUAUGGAAUAAUGAGUGGUUCAACCCGAGGUAAUGUUUUCAGUCUCACCGAAUGUUUGUCUUGUUAGACAUAAACUUUUCAAAUCUGUAUGUAUAGAAACUGAAGGCUCUAAGGUAACAAUUAACUGAACAAAAAUACAAAAUUAAAUCCCAAUGUGUAUCUACCAAAGUCACUAAUCAUGUCAAUGCAACUCAUUUGAAAGUCCCAUAACUCAUUAGUAAUAAGUAGAUGAUGCAUAUCGUUCAUCACUGUUGUUGACAUUCUUAUCGUGUAAACAUAGAUUAUGAUGCAUACAGAUGAAAAAUGCAGAAGAUGAAACACUAACCUCUGCAUCAUUGUUAUACUCUAGUUUUCUCUGUUGUUUCGAGGCCUUCGAAAUCGAGCAACAGCCUCAUGAUAAACUAUGUAGUCACGUCAGACUCCUCCACAUGAACUUUCACCCCUUAAUGUACAUAAACUUUGAACGCAUGAACCUAAUUUUGCAAAAAAAAAAACAACACAAACACAAUCCUUCAUUCCCCUUUCUGCACUAAAACAAACCCAAAAAAAAAUUGCAGCUCUUAUAAACUCACUCUGACACCCCCGAUCGUAGAUAACCGGAAAUGACACGGUCGAUGUUCCCUGAUGGUCGACCCAAGGUUCUCGAAAUAAAUCUGAUCGCCUUAGACCAACAACCAAAGAACACAGACGCUCCUAUCGGAUAUUACUCUAGGCUUUUCAACCCGAUAAAGCAAUAUUCGAUAGUUAGUUCGUCCCGGACAAAGACUAAUAUCAUAUGAGAACUCGUGAUUUAUAAACAUCUUUUAUAUAUUAGUUAUUUACUUUAAACAUCUUACAAAGUGUUAUAGUUUUAUCCUACGGCCUAUUGCCCAACAACGUUUUAAGUAAAUAUACAUCAAAAGGUACGUUGCAAGGACAACAAAAUACUACCGCUGGUUGGCCGCUCCUUCCGUCCAAAAGAGUAAAGUGUCUCCCGCCUAAGGGUUACCUGCACACACGAAUGAGUCAUGAGCAACUAGUUUACUCAGUGAAUCUAGAAUCACAACACAAUCAAUAAUAAACCAAACAAUUAUCAAAUGCAUAUACAUGAUCAUGCAAGUACUAGUACUAUACUUUAAUAUCGAUCAUCAUUGUGAAUUCUUAUUUUAAACAUCACUUCCACAACACCCGCCCGUUACCAUACUCAUAUAAUACAAUAUAUAUACUAGACCCAAGAAACCACUAAGGCUAACCGAGACUAGUGAGUUAGCAUCACCAUCAUUGUCGAAUGUCCGGUAUGAACAAUCCGACACUGCAUCGUCAUGCAGUACACGGUCUCCAGGGAGCUACCCCAUCAUCGUGUCUUCAUGACCUUGUUCCGUUCGCAGGACCAAGUCAUGGUAAUGCGGGGGCUUUAGGGAUAGUGAAUAUAACAAGAUUUCACAUGAUUUUACUUCCAUAAUUAUUCCAAAAUUAAUCCAUAAUUAAACCUUAAUAAAUCAUAAUUAACUCUUAAUUAAUCAUAGAUUAAUCCUUAAUUAAUUUCAUAUUAAUUUUUAAUUAAUCAAAGAUUAAUCCUUAAUUAAACCAAGAUUAAUCCUUAAUCAAAACCAUGAUUAUUUCAUAGUUAAGAUUAGUACUUGAGAACAAGUACUAAGAUUAGGAUUAACCUCACUUUAACAUUAUUCUUUAAGUGUAAGUGUUUACCAUGAGUAAACACAACACCAUUCUUAAAUAUUCAGACACUUUACUAACUUAAUCAAUGACUCAUUCAUGAUCUAUCUCAACAUCUGUCUAGACUCACCUAAAGAUUAGUCUUGAAACUGGCUUAGACAAGACUUGAGUUCCACUUGAACAAGGCUGAAUGGACCUGAGAAUGGACAAGGUUCUGAUCGGUCACUAUGGUUUAACUUAACAACUCAUCCGACUCACUUGACUGUGGCUUACCAAGAGACUGAAUGGACAGGACUGGAUACUUCAAGCAUUACUCUACCUCUGACCUGAAACAGAGUGGUAUGAUCACAAGAUCAGUUCGGUUCAUGCCUUAACACCUUAGAUCAUAUCAGUUCAAGCUUGGUUCUGCUCAGACUAUACAAGUUCAGCUCGGUUAUAGUCAGUCUACCAAAGUUCAAGACAAGAUCAGACUGAGUUCAAAUCGGUUUACUCAAAGCCGGAUCAAAACAUCAUAGCUGGUGGUUCUAAGAGGUUGAUUCUAUAGAAUGUGGAACUUGAUUCUUAUUAGAAAUCACAGAGUACAAUAUAUAGCUAGUACAUCACGUAGAGCUAGGUUAAUAAUAUUUACAUAUGAACCCUUUCCAUAUCUACAUCCUCAAUACACCCCCUCAAGAUGGAGGUACUUGUGUGACUCCAAUCUUGGAUGUAGCAAGAGUAAACUGCUGGCGACUUAGAGGCUUCGUGAGUGCGUCGGCAAGCUGAUCUUUGGUGGAGAUAUGAGAGACCCGAAUCAUGCCAAGCUGGAUCAUGUUCCUGAUGAAGUGAUAAUCUAUGGCAAUAUGCUUCAUCCUUGAAUGAAAAACUGGGUUUGCACACAGACAUGUGGCACCCACAUUAUCGCAAUAUAUCACAGGAACCGUCGGUAUCUGUAUCCCCAACUCCUGUAGUAACGAACAUAUCCAACGAACCUCCGAAGCUGUAUUGGCCACAGCGCGAUAUUCCGCCUCUGUGGAAGAACGAGCAACUCCAUUUUGCUUCUUCGACAACCAAGAAAUAGGUGUAGACCCAAGGUAGAUCACAUAUGCAUUUGUAGAUACAUAGUCGUCGGUAUCCCCUGCCCAAUCCGCGUCCGUAAACGCAUGAAGUGUAAGUGGUGAGCCAACACACAUAUGUAUACCAUGACUAGUCGUACCCGCCAAGUAACGCAAUACGCGUUUGAUGGCUUGCCAAUGAGUCUCCGUCGGUUGAUGCAUAAACUGAGAAAGACGAUUAACCGCGAAGGAGAUGUUUGGCCUCGUAAAUGCAAGGUAUUGCAGGCUCCCUACUACAGAACGAUAUUGAUAAGGAUCUGAUAACUUAACCCCAUCAUUCAACUUCAACUUAGGCGUUGUUGGCAUUGGAGUUGACACUGUCUUGGCAUCAACCAUAUUGUUUCUAGUGAGCAAAUCGAUGAUGUAUCUUCUUUGCAUUAGGUGCAAUCCCUUUGCUGAACGGUUCACCUCAAUCCCCAAGAAGUAGUGCAAGUCUACUGGAUCCUUAAUGGAAAACCGAGUGGCCAAUGACUGAAGAACAGAGGAGACAUGCUGUGAAUCGCUACCGGUAACGACAAUAUCAUCAACGUAGACCAGUAUAAACGUAUGAGAAGACCCAGACUUGUAAGUGAAUAAUGAAGUAUCGGCCAGUGAGUUUUGAAACCCAAUAUCGAGUAAGUGAUUCUUUAGAGACAUGUACCAGGCUCGGGGAGCCUGUUUGAGACCGUAUAUAGGUUUCUUCAAGCGAUAAACAUGGUGUGGUCGAUCAGUAUCUAUGAAUCCUGGAGAUUGAGUCAUAUAUACCUCGUCUUGAAGGUCCCCUUGAAGAAAUGCAUUAUUGACAUCAAGUUGUUUAAUUGGCCACCCUCUGUUAACCGCAAUAUCCAAAACUAGCCUGAUCAUUGUUGACUUAAUAACUUGACUGAAAGUUUCACCGUAAUCUACUCCAUACCGUUGUGUGUUUCCUCUCGCCACAAGUCGUGCCUUCGGACGAUCAACCUCUCCAUUCGCCAAAUAUUUAAUUGUGUAGAUCCAACCACAACCAACCAAGUUCUGUGAGGGGUGUGAAGGUACCAAAUCCCACGUGCCGAACUGGAUUUGAGCAUCAUACUCUGUUGACAUGGCUUUACACCAUCGCUCGUCUUUCAGAGCUUGAGCAACUGUUCGUGGUUCUAGAUUCAAAUACCGCUUAAAAGCAUUGAAACUGAAGCGGGAUGUUGGCUUGACAAUCUUGUUCUUAGCCCUGGUUUGCAUAGGAUGCUGAUUCUGUGGUUGUUCCUUGUCGUGUUGUGUAACUGGAUUUCGUGGGUUCCGGGUGAUUUGAUCGUUUAACGGUGGUUGUAUUUGUGGUUCACUGGUUUGCGAGGAAUGGGUUUGCAGAUUUGGUGUAGGUGAGCGUUGUUGAUGGGCUUCAUUUGUUUGGUGGUUGGGCUGGGCCGUGGGUGUCGGCCCAUUUUGACUUGGAGCAGUGGGCUCAGAGUUAGAGGGAGAAGAAGAAGGAGAGAGAGACAGAGAAGGCGAUACCUGAGCUUGUCGAGGUGAGACCGGAGAAGAUGAUGCAGGAGGCGGGGGCAGGUGAGAAUCCAAGCACGGGGAAGCAGAUGUCUCCGGUGGCGAGGCAGUCUGAAGAGGAACUCGAGUGAGCAGAGGCUGACACGUUGAUUCCGACACAUCAUCUCUCGUUUCAGAAUUUUUUGAUUUUGUUGUUUCACCAGCCGAGAAUGGGAAAACAGAUUCUUGAAAGGUCACAUGUCGUGAAGUAUACAUCCUUCCUGUGGGUAAAUGAAGACACAAAUAGGCACUUUGACUCGUUGAGUAGCCGAGGAAGACGCAAGGUUUCGACCGAUCUUCCAUUUUAUGCUUCGUAUAAGGCUGCAGCCAGGGGAAACAUCAACAACCAAAUACUCGAAGUCGAUUGUAGUUUGGAGCCUUCUGAAAUAGUUUCUCAUACGGUGAUUGAUACUCCAGAUUUGGUGUUGGGAGCCUCUUAAUCAGAUAAAUGGCCACAGCAAAAGCGAAUGGCCAGUAUGUCUUUGGCAUAGAAGCUUGAGACAUGAGAGUGAGUCCUGUUUCGACAACGUGUCGAUGCUUCCGCUCCGCAGCACCGUUGUGUACUGGUGUAUGGGGAGGUGACGUAAGGUGUGAGAUGCCAUGACUCUGCAGGUACGCUUUCAUUACCAUAAAAUCACCACCAUUAUCAUUAAAAAGAGUGCCAAUCCUUGUCUGAAAUCGGUUUUCAACUAGCUCUUUGUAGGCUGGAAAUAUCUCUUUGACUUGGGACUUUUGUUUGAGUGGGUAAAGCCAAGUAUAUUUGGUGAAGUGAUCAACAAGAAUUAGAUAGUAUUUGUACUGGUCAGUAGAAAUUAUGGGAGAUGACCAGCAACGGAGAAGAUAAUUUCAAGAGGUCGUGUGGAGGUUAUACUGGAAGUAGAAAAAGAAAGCUUAUGGCUCUUAUUAAUCAAGCAAUCUGAGCAAGACAAAGUGUUUGAAGAUAACUGAGAAACAGGAAGAGAAAACUUGGAAAGAGUUUUGUUUAAAAUAGCAAUAAAAGGAUGGCCCAAACGAGAGUGCCAAGAUGAUAAUGUAGCCUUUGAAGUUGGAGACACAAACAUAGCCGCAGGAACAUAGUUCAUCACCGGCCAUUCAUACAGCUUCUCCUUAGUUCUGCCUUGGAUUAACCGGGUCCCCGUGCUCAGAUCCUUCACCUGAAAUGAAGAUGGAAAGAAUUCGACGGAGACUUGGUUAGUGUUACAUAAACCAUACACAGAAAUUAAGUUCUUAUGUAUGUUAGGCACACACAAAAUAUCAUUCAACACUAGAGAUUUGUUUUUAGAAGAAAGUGUUGCUGAACCAGUGUGGGUAAUUGAUUGAUUUGAUCCGUCUGCUAUGACAACCGCCUCACCUCCUUCAUACGGUUGAUGCAGAGACAGGUUCUGCAAAUCAGAGGUGAUGUGAUGAGUGGCUCCACUGUCAAGCGGCCAUUGAUUUGCAUUGUAUGACGUUGCAGCUGCUACAUUAGCUCUCGGCUGCCAUGGCGUAAAUGGUGUCUGCUGUGAGACCACUUGGUAGCUCUGGAGAUGUGGACAACGCUUGGCUCCAUGUCUUUGAGUGCCACAAAUUUGACACUUUCCAAGGUAUGGUCUUGGACCACGUGGUUGCUGCUGCCACGGCAUGUUGUUGUUGCUUGGCCUUGGUUGAGUGUUGUAGUGGUUGUUGGUGUGACUCUUAUUCUUGUUGUUGUUCUGGUACGAGUUACUCUUCUGAUGAACCACAUUUGCAGAGACAGGGACGACUGCUGCAGGCACAGACGAUGAAAGCUUCGCCUCGUGAUGAAGAAGCUUCUCAUGAAGCUCAGUGAUGGUGGGAGUUGUUUCACGACCUUCGAUUUGCUCAAUUAACGGUUUGUACUCCUCUGACAGUCCAUCAAGAAUAGCAUCGAUCUGAUCUUCAUGUUCCAUAGGCUUCCCUAGAAUGGCAAGCUGAUCCAAUCUAGUAGUCACGCCUUGUACAUAGGCAUCAAUAGUCUUAUUCUCCUUCUUCCAAUACUUGAGUUGAUUUCUCAGGUUUUUGAUGUGCGCACGGCUAGGUUUUGCAGAUGUUGAGGCCAGCGUCUCCCAGAUCUGUGCAGCUAUAGUAGCUCUCGAGACCAGAGGUUGCAACGGUAAGGUGAUGGCUCCAAGAAGAGCGAUGUAGAUCAAGCGAUCUUGACGCUUCCAGAUUGUGUUCUCUGGAUUCGGAGAGGUUUCUCCAUCGAUAGUGACAGUAGGAGAAGGUAUCACGGUGGAUCCAUCCAGAUGACCAACAAGGCCAUAUCCAUCAACCAAAGCGUGGACUUGAAGACUCCACAUAAGGUAGUUUGUUGAUGAUAGCUUAGAAACGUUUGUCAUGUUGAUGUUUAGGAUAGUUUGGUUGUUGAUGUUGGUGGGAAUGGUGUCUGUGAUUGUUGUAGAGUUGGUUAGAGACGCCAUUGAUGCAAGUUUGAAAUGAAAAAAUUAUGAAAAAAAAAAAAAAUUGGUUUUAAGGAGCGACGGCUCUGAUACCAUAUAGAAUGUGGAACUUGAUUCUUAUUAGAAAUCACAGAGUACAAUAUAUAGCUAGUACAUCACGUUGAGCUAGGUUAAUAACAUUUACAUAUGAACCAUUUUCAUAUCUACAUCCUCAAUAGAUUCAAACCGAAAUUUACAAGAACUGAACUGUAUCAGAACUUAUACAACUGAUCCGACCAAGACCUAAACUAAACAUCAACUGUUCUGAUCAGAUACUGACUGAGGCAAGGAGACCAAAGCUUACCAAGACGAACCAAAGAAUUAGAUGGCCUCAGCUGAUCCUCUUCUCCAAGGUAAGCUUGCGGCUGGACUGAUCAAAGAGAAAGAUCAAGGUCUGAUCAUGAUCUGAACUCAACUAGGUCUAGGGUUUUAUUUAAAAAUCUCACCUUCUGAUCUUUCUCAAGGUAACAAACUGAGCUAGGGUUGAAGAUUAGAUCACCACCAAUUUUUUCUUGAUUCAAUUUCCUGAUUUUUCUCACUGAUUUUUUUGUUCUUCUUUUUCUCUUUCUCUCUGAAAUUCUCUAGGUUUUUCUGUAGGUUUCAGAACGUGGGAAGCAGCUGAAAAGAGUUAAACACAACCCGAGGUUACUUCAUAUGAGGGUUUAGCUCAUAACCAAGGUUGGCUGAGAGCAGACAGCUGGCAACCUGUUUCAUCAUCUACACCAUACUGUCCUUUCCCUCCCAUGAAGCAGUUCCAGCCAAUCAUAAAUAAUUAAAGGAGGAAGAAAGCACACAAGCAGCUUGUGAUUGUCAUGUGCCAUUUACUGAAGAAGCUAGGUAAGCAGGCAGGUGCAAGUCAAGUGACUGAAUACUGAACAAGCAGGCUGGUGGAAGACAUGAGUCUGGUCCAAAAUUAAUUAGGCAGUUGGUCGAUAAUUUUAAAUAAUUUUUCAACCAAAUAUGCCUUUUUCUUUGGCUCUCGUCUUGUUCUCGGAAAAUCUCGUCCAGCUUAAUAAAAAUUCGACCAAAAUAUUUAAGACUCAACCAAACUAUCUAGUGAAGGUCUUUUGACCAUAAGACAGUCCCGUCGAGAAAUUAACCUACCGGGUCGAUUUUUAUCUUUAUUAAUCCUGGUCGAACCAACUAAAAACUGGUCGAGCGGGAUUUUUCUCGACCAAAAAAUUUAUUGGCUCGUGAGGGUUAUUACACUCACCCUGUCUGAGAGCCUAUCAACCUCCCUUGUACCAUUGAACUGAAACGAUUGCAUGUUCUAUCUCUCGUCUCACUCUUGCUUGUUCCAUGGCUGUCAAUCUUGCUCUCUCCAUCACUUGCUCCAUCAGCUCAACACUGCCUGUUUCAUCGCUCUAUGCCCUUGAUCUGUUGAUCCCCGCUACUUUCUUUGUAGCUCUCCGCGCUUACUCUGUUUCUCUCUGCCUGAUUACUUCGUCCCUCUCCACCGCUUGCUCCGUCGCCCUCUAGUGACAUGCCACGUUAGUGACGACUGUGAAAAAAAUAUCAAUGAAGAACAGUUGCAAGAUCUGAGAAAAGGGCUUUACUACGAUUUUGUUUUAAGAACGAUCAUGAUUCUGGGUAAGUCUCAGUUCUUCAUCUUCUAUAUCCAUUUAUACCGAAACCACAGCCUCUUAGAUCGUAAAAAUGCUUUGAAGACACAUCGUGGGGGGAGCGAAUCAAUGAGAUUAAUGACAAAGAAAUUAAUCACACCGUUACAGGUCGUGGAAAGAAUUGCAAACGUCACAGCCUCCCCGUCGAACGUAUAGCAGACGACUUUUCGCUUCGUCGAUCGAACAGAUCUAGGGUUAGAAGGCGAAUCCUAUCUACCCGGGCCGGAAACAUGGACCAAAUUCGCAGCCCAAUACAGAAUUAAGAACGAAAGCCCAACAUAAAUGUGAAUAAAUGAAACGCAGCGGUUCGUGUGGACGGGACACGUGCCAGCGCGAAGGAGCUCGACUUUCCUAGUUGGAUGUUGAGGUGGCGCGCCCAUGAGAUAGCAAACAGUUCUUUAUAAUAAUAUAUUGGACUACGAUGCACUAAGAGAGUUCCAACUUUCGAAUCACGUAUAUAUAGAGUUUAAUAAGUCAUUCGGUAAAUAAAAGUAGCAAAUAAGAAAACUUGUGAUGAUAUUUUUUGCGGUAUACUUAGCAAAGUGUUGUUUGAUAUAUAUAACCAAACAAAAAAGGUUUUACAACAUAAUGAAUCGUUAAUCAUAGCCAUGCUUAAGAUAAUAUAUACAAAGGAAAGUCAAUAUAGUCGACUGGAGUAAGUAAAUAUUGUAGGAGAUGGAUUACAUCCCUCCACAAGGCCCAUCGAAUAAAAAGGCCUAGCCUAACAAGUUACAAACUUACUCGGCUCGGCGAGUAAAGCUGUCAGUUCGGUCUUAGAGUGCUUUUUGACGACGACCAAGCCGACCAAAAGCAUCCAGCUCGGAGGAACUCCAUCAAGGCCCAUAUACUCGGACUUCUCAAGUUAAGGCCCAAAGGGGGACCGGAUCAAGGACACACAAGGACGGAAAGCCUAUAAAAGGAAAGGAGACAACAACAAGAAGAGGAUUGACACUUUUACACACACACUGAGCGGCUAGAUCUAGGGUUUUAGUCUCUCUUUACUCCUAAUCGUUUUGUACCUUUUCCGGUUUGCUCUUCCAGCUCCGGCUUGUUUCCUUGAUCUCCUGUCACUCUUGUACCCCCUUUUGAUCAGGUCUAAUAAAACGUCUUUAGUCAUCCCAUUUUCAAGUUCUUUCAACCUAGUCGACUGAAUCCCGUACAAACAAUUGGCGCCCACCGUGGGGCUAGCUAAAGUAACGUUCUAGGUCUACAUGGUUCAAGAUGAUGCCACCUUCGGCGCUCCAGGCGGAGAACCAACCCCUAUGCCUGAAGCCGCUCCACCGAUCCCCGCAGACUUCAUGAGCUCCGUUAUGGCUCGAUUCGCUCGACAAGACAAAGUUCAAAAGACGACCAACGACCAGCUAGCUGCUUUGGUCGCAGCACUCACCGCUCCAGACGGCCAAACGAGCCGUCCACAGAUGAUACGCCGUCGCCUAUUCAACACAAACCCUACGGCGACGGGUGGUGACCACAUCUCUGAUGACUCGGAACCUAAGAAACCCUUCCCGUUGAUGCUCAACAGAUAGGACCAGAUCUCGUAACCAUACGCGAUAUCGCCGAGCUCAAACUCAGCUUUCAGCAAAUGAGCUCGAAGAUCCAUCAGGCUACCAGCGCGGCUCCACAAAUCAAGAGUGUACUCGCCGCGACCUCGCGAACCCCUUUUACUAGCGCACUAACCAAUGUGAAACUCAGGAAAAUAGAGAAGCUGCGCCUACCAGAGUACAAGUCCGGCGGAGACCCGGUGGAACACAUGACGGCUUUCAAUAUCGCGAUGGCACGGGCUCGACUCUCCGAUGAAGAAAGGGACGCAGGCUACUGUCAACUGUUCGUGGAGACUCUCCACGAGCAAGCCCUAACCCGGUUCUCCCAACAAGAAGAGAACUCAAUCGGAAGCUUUCGAGACUUAUCAGCGGCUUUCCUCAAGGCGUACAUUAUGUUCACAAAGAGCAGUGCUACCGCUUCUAGCCUGUGGAACCUCAACCAAACCAAAGAUCAGAGCCUCCGCGACUACAUGGAGAAGUUCAAAGCAGUAGUCUCGAGGAUUGCAAUCCCCGACGACAUCACUAUCGAUGCCCUGAGAAACACAUUGUGGUUCCGCUAUAAGUUCCGAGAAGAUCUAUACCAAAAUCCAACCACCUCGCUCCAAGACGUUAUCGCUCGUUCUCACAACUUCAUCCGAAUGGAAGAAGAAACAAAUGCGAUCAUCAGCAAGAUGAACGCGGCGAAAAUGCCAGCGACUAAAAAUGCCGACAAGUGAGCAGAACCGCGGCAGCAUGCUCCUCACGACAAGAACAGCCGUAAAGACGGUUACAUGUACAUCGUUAACGAGAACAACGUACCAAAUUCGACCAUGGUAGUCCGAGGAGAAGGGUGGAAUAAAUGGGAAAGAGAGCUCGACUCAUCUGGCGAACCAACUGAUACUGUCUGCGCGACUCAACCCGCAGUGGCAGCAGGUCCGAUGGCAGGCCCUUCCAGAACCGUCGAUCUCUCCAAACAUUGAAAAUAUCACGACGUCAAAGGGCAUGAUAUGACGGAGUGUAAAUCACUCGAUGCACACUAUCUUUCGUCUCUCGCUAGCGGCGACUUCAAAUUCGAGCCCCUAAAAGCUAAGCCCAAAAAUGGCAAAAGCUGGAGAAAGAAUAAAGAAAGAAGAGCCCAGCGCAAAGCUACCGGCAAAGGCCGACAAAAAGAAACGCAGCAGCGAAAUGAAGAAAAGGCCCCAAAGGACGACGUUGAAGACGACUCCUCUGCUGACGAAGAACAGCCGACUAACCGCAUGCGCAUUGAGGUUAUACUUUCUCAACAAACCUUAUCGUCAGACGACGAGAACGACGACGCGCCUAUACCCGGAGAUCUGAGAAAUGUUCUCAAACAAAAGCUUGAGUCCAAGGACGACAUCAGCUUCGGAAAUACUGAUCUCCGGCUAACGCUGAACGCAAGGAAGUCCCAGCGUACCUCGACCAGUGGUCCUGAUCCCAAAGGGCAUCCGACACGUCUCAGCGGCGAUCUUCGAGACAAACUCAACGCCAGCGUGUGCGAUCUUCGCGUUCUCCUCAACAGCUCGAAGCCCACAUAUCUCCGUAGACGGUUGGAACAAACUAAGACGCCAGGCAACCCUACGCUGUCGUAAAACGACGACAACGCAUCAGCUGACCUUCGCGCCCUUUUAAACUCCAAGCGAGUAAAAGCAAAACAGCGACUAAACGUCAUUAUGGGCGGUUCUUCUCCCUGUGGAAAUUCUGUUCGCUCCGUCAAGGAUUACCGCCGGCAGGUUGCAACUUCGCCAAUGUGGCCCACUAGACCACCAAACCAUCCUCCGAUAACCUUCUCGCCUGAUGACACCGCUGGGAUUCACGUCCCCCACAACGAUCCUCUUCUUGUCAUUCUCGGAAUUGGAGAGUAUGACGUCACGAAAGUACUUAUCGAUACGGGAAGCUCCGUUGAUCUCAUCUUCCAAGGAACGCUGCAAAAGAUGGGAGUAGACCUCGAUGACAUUAAGGAAUCAUCCAAAAUAUUAACCGGCUUCAAUGGAUCUUCCAAAACAAUACUGGGGACGAUCCGUCUUCCGGUACGCGCAUCAAGUUCGUUGUUGUAAGCACGAAGGCACCAUAUCAUGCGAUACUUGGAACACCGUGGAUACACUCGAUGCAAGCAAUCCCGUCGACUUACCACCAAUGCAUGAAGUUUCCCGGUACGGACGGCGCAAUUAAAACGUUUCGAGGAGAUCAGAAGGCCGCUCGAUACCUAUUGAUCGCCACUGUUAAGCUCCAACAUUCUUCUCUACCUGUCAACUCCGUCUCUCCCCCGAUCUCCAAAGUUUGCCCCCAGAAAGACAAAGUUCUUGAGUUGCCCAUCGACGACACGGACCUGAACCGAACGGCACGAAUCGGUGCAUAUCUAUCUGAGGAUAUGCAGCGGUCGAUCCUCGACUUCCUCAAGGAGAAUGUAUCUUCGUUUGCAUGGUCCAUGGCAGACAUGAAAGGAAUUGAUCCAGCGAUAACAACGCACAAGCUUAAUGUCGAUCCAACCUUCAAGCCCAUUCGAAAAAAGAGACGAAAGCUUGGUCCUGACAGGUUUAAAGCUGUGAACGAAGAGGUCGAACGGCUACUCGGUGUUGGCUCAAUCGCUGAGGUACGUUACCUAUGAGUGGUUAGCAAACCCAGUGGUGAUCAAGAAGAAGAACGGGAAGUGGUGCGUCUGUGUCGACUUCACCUACCUAAAAAAAGCCUGCCCAAAGGACAGCUACCCUCUUCCAAAUAUUGACCGUCUAGUCGAAUCCACCGCCGGAAAUGAGAUGCUCACGCUCAUGGAUGCUUUCUCCGGAUACAAUCAGAUCAUGAUGCACCCUGAUGAUCGCGAGAAAACGGCCUUUAUCACAGAUAGGGGGAACCUACUCCUAUAAGGUCAUGCCGUUCGGCUUAAAGAAAGCAGGGGUAACUUACCAACGACUCGUGAACAGAAUGUUCGCAGAAAAGCUGGGCGACACCAUGGAAGUAUACAUUGAUGACAUGCUUGUUAAGUCGCUACACGCCGCCGAUCACCUCCGCAAACUCUCAACAAGUACGGCAUGAAAUUAAAUCCGGCGAAGUGCACCUUCGGAGUUUCCUCUGGUGAAUUCCUCGGUUACAUCGUAACACAAAGAGGAAUCGAAGCCAACCCGAAGCAGAUCUAAGCGGUCCCGAACCUCCCAAGUCCAAAAAAUAGUAGAGAAGUCCAGCGGCUCACGGGUCGGAUUGCUGCACUUAAUCGGUUCAUCUCUCGAUCUACCGACAAGUGUUUACCAUUCUACAUCUCCUACGCGGGAAUAAAAAGUUUAUCUAGGACGAGAAGUGCGAAGAAGCAUUUGCUCAACUCAAACAAUAUUUGACUACACCGCAUGUACUCGUCAAGCCGGAUGUCGGGGACGUUCUAUCCCUUUACGUCGCGGUAUCCCCCGCAGCAGUCAGCAGUGUUCUAAUAAAGGAAGACCGCGACGAGGAAAAACCAAUCUUCUACACAAGCAGGCGUAUGACAGGCCCAGAAAUGCGAUACCCAACUCUGGAGAAGAUGGCGCUGGCCGUAGUUGAAGCGGCAAGAUAGCUCCGCCCGUAUUUUCAGUCACAUUCGGUGGAGGUACUGACCGACCAGCCCCUCCAAACAAUACUCCAGAACACCAACAGGUCCGGAAGACUAACGAAGUGGGCUAUCGAACUCGGUGAGCUUGAUAUCACCUACAAGAACUGAAAGGCAGCAAAGUCCCAGGUCCUUGCGGAUUUCUUAGUUGAGCUGGCUCCGGAACUGGAGCAAGACCUCGCACUCCCAAACCCAAACUGGACCCUUCAUGUUGACGGAUCUUCAACCAACAAGGGCGCAGGGGCCGGGGUCCAGUUACAGUCCCCGACCGGAGAAUUGAUCAUACAGUUUUUUAACUUCGGCUUCCCAGCGUCGUAAAACGAAGCAGAAUAUGAAUCUUUGAUCGCCGGACUCCGCUUAGCCAAAGCUGUCAUGGCCAAACGUCUAAGCGCCUACUACGACUCACAGCUGGUCGCCAGUCAGUUCAGUGGCAACUACAACGCCCGCAACGACUGAAUGGAUGCUAACCUCAAGAUAGUCCAAGGGUUAGCAGCAGAGUUCGAAUUCUUCGAACUCAUCAAAGUCCCCAGAGGAGAGAACGUCUGCGCUGACGCCCUCGCAGCCCUUGGCAGCAAGCUUUGAGAUCAGGUUAAACGAACCAUCCCAAUACACCGAAUUGAGAAGCCAAGUAUUGACACCUCAACCGAGCAAACGGUCACCGUGGCCCCGAUCACCGACCGUGAGACUAGUCACGAGACCACCACGCCAUACAUCGAAAGGUUCGACCCCGACUGGAGGACGGAGUUCAUCGACAAUCUUAGCAGGGGAGAACUCCCAGCUGAGAAAUGGGCUGCACGCUGACUAAAAAUACGCAGUGCCCAUUACGUUGUCUUAGAUGAUGAACUCCAUCGAUGGACCGCGAGUAAAGUACUCCUCAAGUGCAUUCAUGGCAACGAAACUGUAAGAGUUAUGGCCAAAACACACGACGGCGCCGAAGGCAACCAUUCAGGCGGACGAGCCUUGGCAAUCAAAGUGAGAGGCUUAGGCUUCUUCUAGCCAACGACGAACGCAGACUGCGAGUCCUACGCUAGACAUUGCGACAAAUGCCAACGGCACGUACCAAGUACCCACUAUCCGACUAAAAUGUUACGCACGACAACAGCACCAUAUCCAUUCAUGCGAUGGGCAAUGGACAUCAUAGGACCGCUUCCCAGUUUCCAACAAUGACGUUUUGUUCUAGUCCUCACUGACUACUUCACGAAGUGGAUCGAGGCUGAGGCCUUCGCUCAAGUCACAGACAAAGAAGUUUGUGGCUUCGUAUGGAAGAACAUUAUCUGCCGCCACGGUCUACCUUAUGAAAAUGUUACUGAUAACGGAUCGCAGUUCAUGUCAGGCAACUUCAAAGAAUUCUGCAGCAAAUGGGACAUCCGAUUAAGCCCUUCCACCCCUCGCUACCCGCAAGGAAAUGGCCAAGCGGAAUCCUCCAACAAGCUUAUCAUUGACGGCAUCAAAAAACGUCUAGAUCUGAAGAAAGGACAUUGGGCCAAUGAACUCGACGGAGUCCUGUGGAGUCACCGCACGACACCAAGCGGUUCGACAAAAUCAACACCUUUCUCCCUUGCAUACGGUGUCAAGGCUAUAGCCCCCACAGAGGUCAAUGUUACAAGCCUCCGACUUUCGAAGAUGCCCCAGUACAUAGAACUCAACAAGGAGAUGCUGCUCGACGCCCUCGACGAGAUCGAAGAGAGAAGGGACCAAGCUCUGCUCCGGAUCCAAAACUAUCAGCAUCAAAUAGAGAGCUACUACAACAAAAAGCUCCGGGCCAGACCCCUUGAACUCGGUGACCUCGUCAUGCGCAAAGUGUUCGAGAACACUAAGGAACUCAACGCCGGCAAACUCGGGGCAAGGUGAGAAGGACCCUACAAAAUCGUCAAAGUCGUCAAACCAGGCGUCUACCGGCUUGAAACAUCCCGCGGAGAAGAAGUGCCUCGAGCAUGGAACUCAAUGCACUUGCGACGUUUCUACUCUUAGAAAAGUCGAAUCUCAAAAAAAAAAAAAAAAAACCGAGACCUCCGCGGUCACUUCCACUCAACCGAGUAGAUGCACCUCCGCGGUCACUUCCACUCAACCGAGUAGAUGCACCUCCGCGGUCACUUCCACUCAACCGAGUAGAUGCACCUCCGCGGUCACUUCCACUCAACCGAGUAAAUGCGCUUCAAACAGCCACUUUUACUCGGGUAAACGAACUACGAAUGGCUUGAUCCUCAACCGAGGUACGUAGGCAGCCUUAACCGGUCCAACUGUAACAACACCAAAAUCCAAACUUUGUUUCAAUCUCAAUCGACUAACGAGUGAUCGAUGAACCCCGCUUGUCGUAAGACGGUCAUCGCAUCAAGUGAUUCUCGUACCGCCAACAGGCAGUACGCGGACACUCACAUCCCACUAUUCAGCUAUGUCCUGAUCAGUCAUCUGGCUAAAGGACUCAACUGUCGUCAGUCACCUAUGCCCCAAAUGUAUUGACCGACCAAAAAGAGCGAAAUCUAUACCCUUUUUUAGACUGACGAGUAAAGGAUUAGCUACCCAAAACUCGACUGUCAUUUGAUAAACGGAUAAAAGAACCUUUCCCUCUUAAAUUCGGUCUCUCGUCUUUCGGAAUUGAAUAGCGUCUUUCGGAAUUGAAUAGCGUCUUUAGACAUUAUCUCAACCGAAACGCGACGAGGACAUGCAAAAGUCCCUUAGAGGCUUGUUUGAUUAUCUAUUUGCAAAAAUUAAAGAUCAAGGACCUAUCGUUUCUAAGCAAACAUGCUACGACACUUUCAGGCAAAUUUUGAUUUUUUAGACACUGCAAAUACAGAUGAAAGAAAACAACAACACACGAACCUAAAGUUUGCUUAACACAGUAACUCGCCAAUAAGGUAAAAACGUGUCUAAACAUACAACAAAAAGGUCGACCAGGACCACAAACACAUUCCGACGAAAAACACAAAAAAUAAUAAUACAACACAGAUGGAGGGUCAAGCAGCGGAAUCCUGGUCAUUUCCGUUCCCAGUCAGGACACUCGGAGCAGGAGGAUCCUGGGGGUCUUCGGCUGCAGAAACAGUUGGACCCUAAACUUGAGCAGGAACAAGACCAGGAAGAUCCACACCUAAGGACGGGAUGCUCAAAGUACUCCCUUUCCCGACCUCGCUUGUUACCUCCUCCUCGUUCGGUCUCAGCGAUGGCGUCUUCUCACCUCGAUCGCUUUCCCCCUCCUCGUCCUCUCGCCUUUCGGAAGAAGUGUCGGAGACGAGAACAUGGUCUUCAGGACCUACGUUCUCAGUCCCCCCUUCCUGGAUUAAGAUGUCACCCGUCUCAAGGUUCUCUUUCUCAGGACUCUUCUCCUCCGUAGCCGCGACCCGUUCCGUGGGGGCAGAUAUGACGUCUACCGCUAACUCUCCGGACUGGUCCUCAACGACUUAGCGUGAAGUAAUGAGCUGAGAAGCCGACUCCGACCCAAACAAGCCAACAUUUGACCCAUACGGGUCAAGCGUCGCCAUAAACUCCUCGUUAACAAACUUAGAAGGAAGGUUGAGUAGGGACAAAGUAAGGUCGCUCUCGGAAAGUGAGUCAAGGCGAAGUCUAGCAACCUCAGCCUCAUGAAGCUUCUCCUGCUCUAUGAAAAUGUUUAUCAUUUCUUGCGGGAUCUCCGUCCCGUUGUCCCUUAUCACCUCGAGGCAUUUUCUCGUUCCUGAGGCCUGUCCAUACAGAUUCUUGGCUUUCUCGAAGGCGUCAAGGCGAGCUAAGUGGUCUCUCACCCGACCGAAGCAGCGAGUAGACUUGUCUGCCAUGGAAGUUUGAACCUUGACCCUCUCGCGAGUAACUUCCUGGAUUCGAGAGUCCCAUAAACGCUUCCUAUCCAUGACCAGCGUCUCAACAACAACAUCCCUCUCUUCUUCAAGCUCCGCCUUCUCCAUCUCAAGGGCAGCAGCAGUCUGCUCCAGACGAGUCUUCUCGCGCAUAAGCUCCUUCUUCGCAAGUCAAUCAGAUUUCAUCUUGCCUUCGAGUUCUUCGAACUUGACUCGAAGAACUUCUUUUUCCUCAGCCGCCUUGUCGUUAGCCUUCUUGUUCUCAGCCCGCAACCUCUCAAUCGCGCUCAGCUUGGUCCACGCAAGUUUCUCCGCCGCGUCUAAUUGUAUCAUCGUCUGCUUCAGUGCGCUGUCAUACUUCUCGACGAGAUAAUUCAUACUCCCGUCACUUUGCACAAUAACAAAAGCAAGAAUGAUUUUCUUUAGCUUACGAAAGGGUCCUGUUUGAACUAGUGAAAAGGGUCAGUAAGUUACCCGUUUUCUCGUGAAAGCGGCAUCGAUGUAUUCGUGCUUAAAGUAUAGGUCCCCUAUUGGCGGUAACUCCCUCGUCCCGCCACGGAUCUGACGCGUCAACUCUGCGCACUGGAGAGGAUUAAACACUAAGGGAGUCUUCUCGUCAUACAUGAACUCCACGCGGUCUGGAAAUUCGACCCUCGCCCACUUCGAUAGUGAACCCUCACUCUGAACCCCUUUCCUCGUCGCCGACGUAGGAACGGCCCUCUCACUCGAUGGAGAUUCACUUCGAGGAUCACCUUUGGAUCCAGACGCCUUUCCUCCACUCCUCGAAGGAUCUUCAGACGCAGGAAGAUCAUCGGGAUGAUCCCCGUCAAUAGAACGACGUGCCCCAUCCUCGACAGAUUUCUUCUUCGCUCUCUUUUUUGGUCGUUCCUCAGGCGAUGCCUCAGUAGAACCAGUCUGAGCAGGGCCCCCCGUGUUAUCUUCCUGAAUGACUAUCAAGCCCUCAUUUUGGUCGAUAGAAAGAUCCUCACGAGGCCUCUUCUUCCCGUCCUUCUUCUUUUUCUUCUUCUUCGAGACCAUAGAAGCGUCAGCGGAAGACAGAGCUUCCUCUAGAGGAACACUAUCCUCAAGAGAGGCAGACUGCUCCCCUUCGGCGAUACAUUUCUUUGUCUUCCCCGCCGCCUUCUUUGUAGGAUUUUGGGCCGACGGCUCCACGUUUUCGUCUCCUUCGACGGGACUAGGUCUAAUGCCUUAAACACCAGCGGAAGACGACUUCGUCGACAACAUCUGAAGUUUCCCUUUUAGCAAGGCACUCAGGUCUAGAACUCCCUCCAUCUCUCUAGCUUUGUUUAAAAGCUUUUGUUGCUUCCGGGUAAACAAGGAUAAGCGAGAUUUACAAGGGCCGAGUACAACAGGAAGCCUCAACUCCCAAUCAACUGUAAAACAGAAGAGACGACAAAAACAUAAAGCCGGCGUAAAUAAGUUAUUAAUAAAACUUCUCGGUGAAAGAUCAACGAGCUCACCUCUAGCAAUCCGAGCUUGUUGACGCCUUAUCCACUCUCGACUAAGAUCAGGCCAACGGAGAUGGUUGUGAGCUGCGAUCACCUAGGCACUCUCGAAGAAUUUCUCCGGGUAUGUGAUUGUGUUCGGGUGGUGAACUGCAACAAUAAUAAGAAACACAUGGCCAGGAUCCCCGAGUAAGACAUGACGUUUAGAAACAGUAUCUACCAAGCGUUUAAUUCCAUAGAACGCGAUAGUCGUCCCCAGGAGGCUCUGCGAAGGCAUGCUCGUCGGACUUGAUAUAAAAAUAUGAACGUUGCCAGUCUUUCGUCUUGUUCGGAUGCCCGGUCAAGACGUUGUAGUUCGAACGCAUCUUCACUGAGAAUAUUCCAUGCGGCUCCACUUUCGUGAAAGUUAACUCUUCGAACACUCUCAAGCUCAUCGAAACGUCUGUCUCAGCGGCCAUCACCAUCAGAAUAACCACAAUGCGCAGCGACCCGUUAAGUAACAGACAGAUUGCAAUGUCUCGACGGAAUACAUAAGACGUGAUCAGUCGGGGGAUCGGAAACCAGAGUUUCGUAUGGUCUCCAAAAUAGGAUUCGUAGACACACUGGUAGCCAACUGGAGGCGACCAAGGACGCUGCCCAUUAGAAGGAAUGAUGUAUGUAACGCUGGCGCCUCCAUGUCGCCUCAAAAAAUCCUUCACUGUCUUGUGAGAGGAGCAAGAAUCGAACACGUUCUUCCACGACUGACCGUCGGCCCGAGGAUCACGCAAGGAUUCCGGCGGAAGUGGGGAAAGCUCCUCAAAGAUUCCACCAGGAUGGUAAAUCGUAGGCCUGCAGUCAAUCUGAUCAAAGUGAACCCUUAGAUGAACUCGCCUCGGAGGCGUCGAAGCCUGUCUUGAUGCUCCAGAGCCGUCACGUUCCGAACUUCUCGAACCAUCACUCCGAUCUUCUCGGUCACUACCUCUACUACUGCUCGCGUCGCUACCUACACCAACGACGGUACGACCAGCGGUUUCUUCGCGAAUUUGCCUAUGAGACACGAUGACUAGAAGGCGCUGAGAUAGACUCAUAUUCUCUGUAUCCCGCAUGGCAUCGCGAUGGAUCAGAUCAAACUCAUCUAACGGGCUGCCAUUCGCUGUCAAGUCUUUAGCUGGGCUCAGAGUGUUAGCAAUGUUCUUACCUUUCUCUUCGCGUGAUAGUCGACUCUUCAUAGGCAUACUUGUCAUUCUGAGGACGACUAAAAUGACGCUCGAAGCGCUGACUCACCAAAAACAAUUUUAGAGAGAGAAAUAGAAGUAGAGAGAAGGGAGAGGAAGCGGAAUACCUGAGCUUGCAGAGAGGAAUGACGAAAGCGAAAGGGAAGGACCUAUUUAUAACAAAAACGAAGGCACGCUUCCCAAACGCAAUCAUUAGGUUUAAGAGGGCCUAAAUGGGCCUCAAGCGCCGCCUAAAUAUCCAGAAACCUACUCGCGACAGUUUGAUUUCUCGGUUGAAGCGACAGUUUGAUUUCUCGCCUCAACCGAUUUCUGGUUGAACAGCCAAACCAGAUCAAUCUCCAAUUUUUGAUCUGAACCGGUUCUCGCCCAAACCGGUCUCCGGUUAAAUAGCGAAACCGGUUCUACCAUUUCACGGUUCGCGAGUAACCUUCCGCCCGAAGACAACAAGGGUGGGGAAGGCGAGUCCUGAUGAACUUUACUCAAGCGACUAAAUGCGUCCAACAAUGGCCAGAGAAACAAGAGAAAGAGAUACCUUCUGUUGACCCCAAGUAAAAACGACAUGCGACUAAAAACGCCUUACAGCGACCGGGAAGACCGACUAACCGCAAGGUGCCUCUUACACUAGAACCUGUUAUCCGAACGAACUUGACCCACAAAUUCACUGAGACCGCUACACUGCUCACAAGUGAACUGGGGGGGGGGCUUAUUGUAGGAGAUGGAUUACAUCCCUCCACAAGACCCAUCGAAUAACAAGGUCUAGCCCAACAAGCUACAAACUUACUCGGCUUGGCGAGUAAAGCUGUCAGUUCGGUCUUAGAGUGCUUUUAGCCGACGACCAAGCCGACCAAAAGCAUCCAGCUCGGAGGAACUCCAUCAAGGCCCAUAUACUCGGCCUUCUCAAGUUAAGGCCCAAAGGGGGACCGGAUCUAGGGCACACAAGGACGGAAAGCGUAUAAAAGGAAAGGAGACAACAACAAGAAGAAGAUCGACACUUUUACACACACACUAAGCAGCUAGAUCUAGGGUUUUAGUCUCUCUUUACUCCUAAUCGUUCUGUACCUUUUCUGGUUUGCUCUUCGAGCUCCGGCUUGUUUCCUUGAUCUCCUGUCACUCUUGUAUCCCCUUUUGAUCAGAUCUAAUAAAACUUCUUUAGUCAUCCCAUUUUCGAGUUUUUUCAACCUAGUCGACUGAAUCCCGUAGAAACACCUGUGAUGAUGUUUUUUGCGGUAUAUUUAGCAAAGUGUUGUUUGAUAUAUAUAAGCAAACAAAAAAGGUUUUU